GACGAACGCUGGCGGCGUGCUUAACACAUGCAAGUCGAACGGAAAGGCCCUGCUUUUGUGGGGUGCUCGAGUGGCGAACGGGUGAGUAACACGUGAGUAACCUGCCCUUGACUUUGGGAUAACUUCAGGAAACUGGGGCUAAUACCGGAUAGGAGCUCCUGCUGCAUGGUGGGGGUUGGAAAGUUUCGGCGGUUGGGGAUGGACUCGCGGCUUAUCAGCUUGUUGGUGGGGUAGUGGCUUACCAAGGCUUUGACGGGUAGCCGGCCUGAGAGGGUGACCGGCCACAUUGGGACUGAGAUACGGCCCGGACUCCUACGGGAGGCAGCAGUGGGGAAUAUUGCACAAUGGGCGGAAGCCUGAUGCAGCAACGCCGCGUGCGGGAUGACGGCCUUCGGGUUGUAAACCGCUUCCGCCUGUGACGAAGCGUGAGUGACGGUAAUGGGUAAAGAAGCACCGGCUAACUACGUG
This 468-nucleotide ribosomal RNA is filed under the name uncultured bacterium. Its description in RNAcentral is "partial 16S ribosomal RNA". It matches the Rfam family "Bacterial small subunit ribosomal RNA", at positions 28 to 507 of the family's 1533-position model. The record is from RNAcentral.